GAUGAAGCACCUUCGGGUGUGAAUUAGCGGCGAACGGGUGAGGAACACGUGAGAAAUCUGCCUUCAACACUGGGAUAACUCCGGGAAACCGGGGCUAAUACCGGAUAUGAAACCUGCGGGCAUCCGCGGGUUUGGAAAGUUUUUCGGUUGAAGAUGAUCUCGCGGCCUAUCAGCUUGUUGGUGAGGUAAUGGCUCACCAAGGCGACGACGGGUAGCCGGCCUGAGAGGGCGACCGGCCACACUGGGACUGAGACACGGCCCAGACUCCUACGGGAGGCAGCAGUGGGGAAUAUUGGGCAAUGGAGGAAACUCUGACCCAGCGACGCCGCGUGCGGGAUGAAGGCCUUCGGGUUGUAAACCGCUUUCAGCAGGGAAGAAGCGAAAGUGACGGUACCUGCAGAAGAAGCACCGGCUAACUAUGUGCCAGCAGCCGCGGUAAUACAUAGGGUGCAAGCGUUGUCCGGAAUUAUUGGGCGUAAAGAGCUCGUAGGUGGUUCGUCACGUCGGAUGUGAAACUCUGGGGCUUAACCCCAGACCUGCAUUCGAUACGGGCGAGCUUGAGUAUGGUAGGGGAGUCUGGAAUUCCUGGUGUAGCGGUGGAAUGCGCAGAUAUCAGGAGGAACACCAAUGGCGAAGGCAGGACUCUGGGCCAUUACUGACACUGAGGAGCGAAAGCGUGGGGAGCGAACAGGAUUAGAUACCCUGGUAGUCCACGCCGUAAACGGUGGGCACUAGUUGUGGGGACCUUCCACGGUCUCUGCGACGCAGCUAACGCAUUAAGUGCC
Molecule: ribosomal RNA, 785 nt
Filed under: uncultured Actinomycetes bacterium
Lineage: Bacteria; Bacillati; Actinomycetota; Actinomycetes
Description: bacterial SSU rRNA
Rfam family: Bacterial small subunit ribosomal RNA
Source: RNAcentral